Molecule: ribosomal RNA, 468 nt
Filed under: uncultured bacterium
Lineage: Bacteria
Description: partial 16S ribosomal RNA
Rfam family: Bacterial small subunit ribosomal RNA
Source: RNAcentral
GACGAACGCUGGCGGCGUGCUUAACACAUGCAAGUCGAACGGAAAGGCCCUGCUUUUGUGGGGUGCUCGAGUGGCGAACGGGUGAGUAACACGUGAGUAACCUGCCCUUGACUUUGGGAUAACUUCAGGAAACUGGGGCUAAUACCGGAUAGGAGCUCCUGCUGCAUGGUGGGGGUUGGAAAGUUUCGGCGGUUGGGGAUGGACUCGCGGCUUAUCAGCUUGUUGGUGGGGUAGUGGCUUACCAAGGCUUUGACGGGUAGCCGGCCUGAGAGGGUGACCGGCCACAUUGGGAAUGAGAUACGGCCCAGACUCCUACGGGAGGCUGCAGUGGGGAAUAUUGCACAAUGGGCGGAAGCCUGAUGCAGCAACGCCGCGUGCGGGAUGACGGCCUUCGGGUUGUAAACCGCUUUCGCCUGUGACGAAGCGUGAGUGACGGUAAUGGGUAAAGAAGCACCGGCUAACUACGUG